Molecule: ribosomal RNA, 2481 nt
Filed under: Candidatus Kaiserbacteria bacterium
Lineage: Bacteria; Candidatus Kaiseribacteriota
Description: partial 23S ribosomal RNA
Rfam family: Bacterial large subunit ribosomal RNA
Source: RNAcentral
CACGAAGAAAUCAAGAGCGUUUGGGGGAUGCCUAGGAUAUGCAUGGCGAUGAAGGACGUGGCUAGUCUGCGAUAAGCUUCGGCGAGGUGAUACGCAACCGUUGAGCCGGAGAUUUCCGAAUGGGGAAACCCACUCUAAAAAGGAGUACUGCACUGUUGUAAAGACGGUGGAGAGCACACUCAGGGAAGUGAAACAUCUCAGUACCUGAAGGAAAGGAAAACAAGUUACAUUUUUUUGUAAUAACAUUCUCUUAGUAGCGGCGAGCGAAAAGGGAUGAGUCCAAAUUGCACCUAUCUUUUGAUAGGUGUGAGGUUGUAGGACGAUAGAGCGUUGCCUUCUGGCAACAGAAAGUUACAAAGUAGAGCGUUAGUGGAAUGUGUUGGAAAGCACAACCAAAGAAGGUGAAGGUCCUGUACGCGAAAACCCUCUACCUUUCAUCUAUUGUUCCUGAGUAGCCCGGGACAUGACUGGCUUGGGUGAAUCAUCCGGAACUAACCGGAAAGGCUAAAUACAUGUAUAUACCGAUAGUGAACCAGUACCGUGAGGGAAAGGUGAAAAAUACCCCGGCAAGGGGAGUGAAAUAGAUCUGAAACCAAAUGCUUACAAAGAGUCGGAGCGGUUGCUUGCAACCGUGACGGCGUGCCUAUUGAAGAAUGAGCCAGUGACUUUCUGUGUAUUGCAUAUGGUUAAACCGUACGCGGUGGAGCCGGAGCGAAAGCGAGUGUGAAUAGCGCGUGAGUAGUAUGCAGAAGACCCGAAGCCAGGUGAGCUUACCUUGGGCAGGCUGAAUGACGUCGAAAGAUGUCAGGAGGGCCGAACCGAUAGAUUGUGCAACAUCUUCGGAUGACCUGGGGUAAGGAGUGAAAAGCUAAUCGAACCUGGGAAUAGCUGGUUCUCUCCGAAAGAGCUUUAGGGCUCGCGUUAUUGGAUCCGUUUGGGGGUAGAGCACUGGAAGGUGUGAAUAGGGGGAAACCUCGUCAUUCCUACCAAACUCCGAAUACCAAACGUUACACAAUAGCAGUUAGACCAUGGGGGCUAAGCUCCAUCGGUCGAAAGGGAAACAGCCCAGAUCCCAAAUUAAGGUCCCUAAGUACGUGUUAAGUACAAACAAGGAGGUGUGAUGUUUUAGACAGCGAGGAGGUUGGCUUAGAGGCAGCCAUCCUUUAAAGAAAGCGUAAUAGCUCACUCGUCAAAACGUCAUGCGCCAUAAAUAAUCGGGGUUAAACACGUCACCGAAAUUGGGGGAGUACAAGUGUUUCGAUACUUGUACUCGGUAGGAGAGCGUUCUUCGUGCACUGAAGCUGAAGGGGUGACCCACAGUGGAGCGCGGAGAAGUGAGAAUGCUGGCACGAGUAGCCGCAAUGCGAGUGAGAAUCUCGCACACCGAAAGACUAAGGUUUCCGCAGCAAUGCUAAUCAUCUGCGGGUUAGUCGGGCCUUAGGGGAUGGCGAAAGCCGGACCCGAUGGACACAUGGUUAAUAUUCCAUGACUCUGCAUACGUGUGAAGGAGUGACGGAGGGUUGUACUCUCUGAGUGUUACUGGAUUCACUUUGUUGCCGUGAGGUUGGCACUUCAGGAAAAUCCGGGUGCAUAUCAUCCGAGCGGAGACAGGACAGACGGCUUCGGCCGUUUGGACAGAGAGGAGCACGCUUCCAAGAAAAGCUUCUAACAUUUUUCGUAUGCAGAACCGUACCGAAAACCGACACAGGUGGUCAGGUCGAGAAGACCAAGGUGAACGGGUGAUUGCUCCCCAAGGAACUCGGCAAGACAGCGGGCGUAACUUCGGAAUAAGCCCUGCCGUAUCAGAUUCGUCUGAUCGGCCGCAGCGAAUGUCGCUUCGCCGACUGUUUAUCAAAAACACAGCUCCCUGCGAACUCGUAAGAGGAUGUAUAGGGGGUGACUCCUGACCAAUGCCGGAAGGUCAAGUACGGAAGGUACUGCGCUUGUCGCAGUGCUGGACUGUAUAAGCCCCGGUGAAUGUCGGCCGUAACUAUAACGGUCCUAAGGUAGCAAAAUACCUCGUCCGGUAAUUUCGGACGCGCACGAAUGGAGUAACGAGCGAAGCACUGUCUCGGGGAGGAGCCCGGCGAAAAUGCAAUACCGGUAAAGAUGCCGGUUAACUACAGAAAGACAGGAAGACCCCGUGGAGCUUUACUACAGCUUCGUAUUGGGGCUAUGAUGAUACUGCGUAGCAUAGGUGGGAGACGUUGAAGCGAUCCUUUCGGGGAUUGUGGAGUCGCCAGUGAAAUACCACCCUUUAUUGUUGUAGUUCCUAACCCCAACGGCAAAACCGUUGAGGGACAGUGCGUGGCAGGUAGUUUUUGUGGGGCGCUAUCCUCCUAAAAAGUAACGGAGGAGUUCAAAGGUUCUCUAGGCGCGAAUGGAAACCGUGCCGAUAGUGUAAAGGCAUAAGAGAGCUUGACUGCAAGGGGGACAUCCCGAGCAGAUGCGAAAGCAGGACUUAGUGAACCUCUAGUACGC